UACGUAGGGGGCUAGCGUUGUCCGGAAUCAUUGGGCGUAAAGAGCGUGUAGGCGGCCCGGUAAGUCCGCUGUGAAAGUCGGGGGCUCAACCCUCGAAUGCCGGUGGAUACUGUCGGGCUAGAGUGCGGAAGAGGCGAGUGGAACUCCUGGUGUAGCGGUGGAAUGCGCAGAUAUCAGGAAGAACACCAACGGCGAAGGCAGCUCGCUGGGACGGUACUGACGCUGAGACGCGAAAGCGUGGGGAGCGAACAGG
Molecule: ribosomal RNA, 253 nt
Filed under: uncultured bacterium
Lineage: Bacteria
Description: partial 16S ribosomal RNA
Rfam family: Bacterial small subunit ribosomal RNA
Source: RNAcentral